Molecule: long non-coding RNA, 3186 nt
Organism: Mustela lutreola (European mink)
Lineage: Eukaryota; Metazoa; Chordata; Mammalia; Carnivora; Mustelidae
Exons: 5
Source: RefSeq, a predicted model, not a curated record
CGGCCGGCCGGGGCUCGGGAGCCCGCCCCGGCCGGGGUGCGAGCCGACCGCCUUCCCGCGCCGGCCCGUGGGGCGCGGAAGGGCGCACGGUGCGUGUGUGCACUGGCCGCGCGGGGGCACCGCCGGAACCAACUUCUGCCCGCUUUGAGGGAAUAUGGCCUCCGUUGAUAACGCACGGUUUAGGGAACAUCAAAAGGGGCUUCGUGGAGGGUGUGGCGAUUAAGACAAGCCUUUAAGUUCGAAGUGGCCACUGGAGGCGUCCCUCUUUCCCGACUUCUGGACUGAGCCCACGGAAAUCGAGGAUGCCGCAGUGUGUCGGAGGGGGACGGCCGCAGCAACAGCCUGGGCCAGACCCGACCUGGGCGAAGAAGGCGCUUCCCGGCUUCAGUUUUCCUUCUGGACGCCCAGUGGCAGGAGCUCCGCGGGCCCCUUCCAGCCUCCUCGCCCUGCAAAAUGGGGGCAACUCACUCCAGCACUCCACGGGGUAAAUCCAGUCCUGAGUCAUCCUAAUGGGUACAAAGUAUUACCUCAUUGUGGUUUUGAUUUACAGUUCCCUAACAAUUACUGAUGUUGAACAUCUUUUCUGAACCCUUCCUUUGAAUCUGGGUUCUAUGACCAGUCUUCUCUUGGUUUCUUCUAGCAAGAGCCAGUUCUGCCUCAUGGAGGAGGAAACUGAGGACAGCUUCUGUUAAGGAGGGCAGCUUGUGAUAAAGAGCAGAGAGAAGGGGCAAAGUGGAGCCCACAGCUGAACCUGAGCAGUGCCAGGAGAGGAGAUGAAGGGGAAAUCUUCUGGAAUCCAGAGAUUCUCUUGUCAGGAGGUUCUUAACCGUCUGGGCUGGGCAAUUUUUGCAGUCAGUUACAUUUAUCCUGGCUCUGUAGGGACAGAUAUUUGUGUAUGUGUCUCCUGUGAGUGGCCACAGGUGAGGAAGGACUUGUUGGGCUCCCCCCUGUGCAUACUGGAACGCAUGUUUUUGGAACUGCGUUUGUAAAAGUUAAGUUAAAAUGACGCUCACUUAACAGAAUUUUGCAUUUGCAUUUUCAGUUUCUUCUCAAGAACUAUGGGGAUGCUUAUUUAAGUGUUUAAAUAAUUAUCUCUUUUGUAUGUGUGUGAUUGCUCUUAAAAACACGAGAUCUUUUAGAUGUAUAAGAAACAGAACUUUCUAUAAUUCCAUUCAGUUUUUAUUUUGAUUCCUGUUCUGCUGCUGCCAAAACCAUAAUCUCGGUUAAUUUAGGAUUUUUCUCUGUCUGCUUCCCUGGAGUUGUUUCUGAGGGCUGACAUUUUGGAGGGCGGUCAUUUAUCUGGUCCUUGAGUCAGAUGUGCCCACAGAUUGCUGGGGAGGCCAUUUUGCUCCUGUCGUAGGAUCCACAGCUGUCCUGUGCAUCCACUGAGGGGUGGGAAUCUCUACAAAAUUGAUGUUGGUGCCUCAGCCAUUCCAUAAAGUCAUUCCUGGCACAGUGCCCUCUGCUUAUGGGACCUCUUUGUGUCCUCCCACAAAUUCACAUAUUAAAAUCUAAUCUCCAGUGUGAUGGUUUUUGGAGGGGAGGACUUUGGAUGUAACCAUAUGAAUAGGAUUAGUGCCCUUUUAAGAAGAGGCCAGAGAGCUAGCUCAAUCUUUUCUCACCAUGGGAGGAGACAAUAAGAGGGCUGCGGUCUGCAACUCAGAAGAAGGCUCUCGCCCACACCUGACCAUGCUAGCACCCGGAUCUGAGACUUCCAGCCCCUGGAAUUGUGAGAAGUAAGUUGUUGCUGUUUACAAGCUACCCAGUCUGUGGUACUUUGUUAUGAGUUGGCUCAGUCCGAGCCAACUCAGAUAGGACCCCAAACUUCUCCAUUUUCUUCAUCCCCCCCUCACACUCCUGUUUCUCCAGAUAUGAGAUGUACAAGUGAGGUACCUGGGUGAAAGGAAAAGAAAGCAAAAAAGAAAGAACCACUAGGUGUACUCCUGAUGCACCACGUCCCAUCUGAAAGUCUGUGGCUGCCCUUUCAGUCAUACUUCUUUGAAAAUCUUAUCUAAUUUUCUCUAUUACGCUAAGCCCUGGGGUCUCUCUUCCUCUGUAUUCAUGUGACUGCAGUGAUUUUCUGAAGGGAAGAUGCCAUUAAUAGGCCAAUUGUGUCUAAGAAAUAGGUACUUAACAAAACUCAGACAUUCCAGGAAUUAGAUGGUUCUGUUGAUUGCAAUUACACUCUCAACUAGAAGCCCCCACUAAGAGGUAAGGUCUCCGAGGACAGAGAUUUUAGUUGACUUUGCUCCCUGUUUAAUCCCCAGCAACUACAACAGUGCCUGGCACAUAACAGCCUCUCAAUAACUAUGUGCUGACUCCAUGAGGAAAUGAAAGCCAUAAGCCAAAAAGUAAACUGGAAAAGAUAAAAUGGGACAGAAAAAUUAAAUUCCUAAUAUAUAAAGAGCACUUAUCAAUAGCUAUGAAAAAAACACCCUUUGCAGCUCAACCCAAAAAAAAAAAACCCCUGAAAAAAAUGCCAAAAAAUUGGGACAUGAAUGGAAUGUUCCUGAAAGAAGAAAUGCCAAUAUAAUCAUGAAAGUUGGGCUACACUAGUUACCAAAAUCAAAAUUAAAUCAAAUAAAAAUUUCCUUUUUCCCAAAUAGCAAAAAAAGAAAAAAAAAAAAGAGGUAAUACUAGAACAUUGUCACCGGCAAAGAGGCCACUUUCACACAGGACUGAUGGGAGCAAACCUGGAAUGUUUUCUCUGGAUAGCAGUUUGGGUCCUGAUAAAAUGUGAAGUUCAAAGACAAGAUGGGGAACUGUAUAAUUCAGAGCCGCAUCAUUCUUUCUCCGCAUCUCACUGAUGGGAACACCGCAUGACUAUCACCUCACCUGAGCCCACGGCAACCUUAUGAGGCUGAUACUACGAUUCUCAUUUUACAGGUCGGCAGACUUCGAGAAACUUGACGAAUCCAGUUGAUGGGGAUGUGGAGCACCAGCACUUUCAUCUGUUAUGGAUGAGAACAGGUGCACCUGCUAUGGAGAAUGACUUGUCAGUUUCCUGGUGACAUUCAAGAGACUCAUUCCCUCCCGCACAGAGUUUCCUUCCUAGAGACGUGUGUUCAGGAUAUAUACAAGCCUAUUUGAUCCGAUAUUGUUCCUGAUACUGAAAUAUUUUAAAUGACUCAGAUGUUCAUCUGAAGGACUGUGGAUAAAUAAACAUGGUUUAUUUAGAUACCGCAA